GAUGAACGCUGGCGGCGUGCCUAAUACAUGCAAGUCGAGCGAACAGACGAGGAGCUUGCUCCUCUGACGUUAGCGGCGGACGGGUGAGUAACACGUGGAUAACCUACCUAUAAGACUGGGAUAACUUCGGGAACCCGGAGUUAAACCCGGAAAAUUAAUUGACCCGCUUGGUUAAUUAGUGAAAGCGGGUUUUGCUUUACCUUUUAGAUGGAUCCGCGCCGCAUUAGCUAGUUGGUAAGGUAACGGCUUACCAAGGCAACGAUGCGUAGCCGACCUGAGAGGGUGAUCGGCCACACUGGAACUGAGACACGGUCCAGACUCCUACGGGAGGCAGCAGUAGGGAAUCUUCCGCAAUGGGCGAAAGCUUGACGGAGCAACGCCGCGUGAGUGAUGAAGGUCUUCGGAUCGUAAAACUCUGUUAUUAGGGAAGAACAAAUGUGUAAGUAACUAUGCACGUCUUGACGGUACCUAAUCAGAAAGCCACGGCUAACUACGUG
This 497-nucleotide ribosomal RNA is filed under the name uncultured bacterium. RNAcentral's name for it is "partial 16S ribosomal RNA". It matches the Rfam family "Bacterial small subunit ribosomal RNA", at positions 28 to 507 of the family's 1533-position model. The record is from RNAcentral.